UGACAAGAAGCCCAGACAUAAUGCUCUGGAGGAAUAAGAUCUGCCCUCUGGUUUUUGUUCUGGGAGUUUACAAACUGAUAAAUUGCAUGAAGGGAAGGUAGCCACAGGCUUUGUGUUCCUUUGGUUGCACCAGAAAACAAACCUGUAAAUAAAUCAGAACCCUUAGCAGAGAGUGUUUUGUUUAACCUGAACCUCAUGUAAACUCCCUGUCCAGCCACAAACCUUAACUCUGACAUAAUCUGCACCUCCCUGGGUUGAACUCACUCCAAACUGACCUUUAGCAGAGACCGGUAAAGAGGAACCACCUGCUGCAUCUCUACAGAAAUUAGUAGCUGAAAAGUUCAAACCUUAUGGAACCCAGCAGCACAGUUCCCACUACCUUUAGCACCAGAAACAUGGACCAUAAGGUGAAGAACAGGACCUGGGUGGCGCAGCAAGGAGAUAGCUUGGCAAUGAGUCACGCUGCUGAUGUUGAUACCAUUUACCUAGAAAGAGGAAGAAAAAUGCACCAUUUAGAUCCUGGAGAGCCUAUGGGUCUUCCACUGCACCUAAUAUCACAAGUGGCGUACCGAGUCGACAGAAGAGCGAUCAGCGAUCCAUUUAGCAGGUCUUCACUAAGUGAUAAGUGGAGACAAGCCCUAGGCUCUUCAGUCUAAAUCUUUCUUUUUUCAAGCAACAACAGAAUCCCGAAGGACUUCCUGAACAACAAUGUUCCCUAAAGGAGUGUCUUUGCCCCCAACUAUCCGCAUUCCUAGUUCUUCUUCUGGAUCAUCUCGAUGAAUUUC
Molecule: long non-coding RNA, 785 nt
Organism: Mauremys mutica (yellowpond turtle)
Lineage: Eukaryota; Metazoa; Chordata; Testudines; Geoemydidae
Exons: 4
Source: RefSeq, a predicted model, not a curated record